Molecule: ribosomal RNA, 477 nt
Filed under: uncultured organism
Description: partial 16S ribosomal RNA
Rfam family: Bacterial small subunit ribosomal RNA
Source: RNAcentral
GUACACUCCUGCGGGAGGCAGCAGUGGGGAAUUUUGGACAAUGGGCGAAAGCCUGAUCCAGCAAUGCCGCGUGAGUGAAGAAGGCCUUCGGGUUGUAAAGCUCUUUUGUCAGGGAAGAAACGGUGAAAGCUAAUAUCUUUUGCUAAUGACGGUACCUGAAGAAUAAGCACCGGCUAACUACGUGCCAGCAGCCGCGGUAAUACGUAGGGUGCAAGCGUUAAUCGGAAUUACUGGGCGUAAAGCGUGCGCAGGCGGUUUUGUAAGUCUGAUGUGAAAUCCCCGGGCUCAACCUGGGAAUUGCAUUGGAGACUGCAAGGCUAGAAUCUGGCAGAGGGGGGUAGAAUUCCACGUGUAGCAGUGAAAUGCGUAGAUAUGUGGAGGAACACCGAUGGCGAAGGCAGCCCCCUGGGUCAAGAUUGACGCUCAUGCACGAAAGCGUGGGGAGCAAACAGGAUUAGAAACCCUGGUAGUCCCAUG